UAGAAACCAAAUGGAGUCCAGACUGGUUG
This 29-nucleotide non-coding RNA is filed under the name Mus musculus (house mouse). Lineage: Eukaryota; Metazoa; Chordata; Mammalia; Rodentia; Muridae. The record is from RNAcentral.